Molecule: ribosomal RNA, 605 nt
Filed under: uncultured bacterium
Lineage: Bacteria
Description: bacterial SSU rRNA
Rfam family: Bacterial small subunit ribosomal RNA
Source: RNAcentral
GCAGCUAACGCAUUAAGCACUCCGCCUGGGGAGUACGACCGCAAGGUUGAAACUCAAAGGAAUUGACGGGGGCCCGCACAAGCGGUGGAGCAUGUGGUUUAAUUCGAAGCAACGCGAAGAACCUUACCAGGUCUUGACAUCCUUUGACCACUCUAGAGAUAGAGCUUCCCCUUCGGGGGCAAAGUGACAGGUGGUGCAUGGUUGUCGUCAGCUCGUGUCGUGAGAUGUUGGGUUAAGUCCCGCAACGAGCGCAACCCUUAUUGUUAGUUGCCAUCAUUCAGUUGGGCACUCUAGCAAGACUGCCGGUGACAAACCGGAGGAAGGUGGGGAUGACGUCAAAUCAUCAUGCCCCUUAUGACCUGGGCUACACACGUGCUACAAUGGGAAGUACAACGAGUUGCGAAGUCGCGAGGCUAAGCUAAUCUCUUAAAGCUUCUCUCAGUUCGGAUUGCAGGCUGCAACUCGCCUGCAUGAAGCCGGAAUCGCUAGUAAUCGCGGAUCAGCACGCCGCGGUGAAUACGUUCCCGGGCCUUGUACACACCGCCCGUCACACCACGAGAGUUUGUAACACCCGAAGUCGGUGAGGUAACCUUUUUGGAGCCAGC